AAUGGAGACAAAAUCAUAUGCCAAAGUGAGGAAUCAAUAUGUAAGUGUCAUAGUUUUUCUAGUCAAUUAAUGUGGAGCAUGUUAUCAUAUUGUAAGUCUGCUUAUGUAAAUUCUCAUAAUGUUUUGAUCGUAUAUAAAUGAUAAAAACAUAGGACAGUUGGUAUGUACUUUCAAUUUUUUAAAUUAAUGGGCCAUGAACAAGUGAUUUUGUGGAUGGCUUAAGAAAAACUUCUUUUAGGUACUCGUGCUAUGAUUUAAAAUAAUAUUUGAUAUGUGAACUAUGUCUAGUGAUUUUAGAAGGUGAAUCACAGGGGUGUCUCCCCUGACAAAUGCAAAAUACUUGAAUUGUGCCACCUAAGAAAGAAUGGAACACCUGUGAAUGAGACAGCUACAAAAGCUAUGUAGUAGAAUGCACAGUUAACAUAUAUAUAUAUAGACACAAUAUAUUCUUUGUGAUUGCUUCAUGCAGGAAGAUAUGAAUUCAAAGGUCAUUGAUAUUAGGGAUAAAAAAGAAGCAAAACCAACUACUAGAUGAAGUAACAGCAUAGGAAAUCAAUAUUGUAUAUUCUAAAGUGCUUGGAAGAGAGAAGUGUAAUCGGGUGAGAGGAUAUGGCAUAGGGGUGAGACCUGAGGAUGUGUCGGGUGUGCUGACCGAAAGAAAAGGUUUGAGAGAAGAGGGGAGAGCCACAACGGAAAGGUAAAACAUUUGGAACAACUUUUAAUGAAACAACAAACCAUCAUGGAAAAGGUUUUAGCUAGUGCAAGCAAUGUUUCUAACAUUGAUUCUGAAUAGCUACUGGGACAUGUUUCACCAACUAAUUGCUUUAGCACUCCACAGGUAGCACUUGGUUCUAAUAGAUUGGAAGAAAUUAUGAGUGCAACCUUACAUUCACCUUACAUGCCAAGCCAGACAUUAAUUGAUUAAGAUGGUUAUAGAUCAGUACUAAGGGGGAUAGAAGAGGAGAAACAUGCAAGGAAUAUUGGCCCUGUGUUCAGAGUUCGAAAAAUAUGGUUAGAGUUUAUGGUAUCUAGACCAUGCAGUACCAUUAUGCUUUUUGUUAACACCAUGCUUAUUAACAUAUAUGUGUUUUGGUGUUAUGAAAUUCAUAAUACCAAAAUACAUGUUAGUUUGGUAUUUUGAUAAUAACUGCUUCUUUGGUACUAGGGUAUGCCAUUUCCUUUUCGAAGACCAAGUUCAAGUGGGAUAAAAUUAGUUAUUUUGAAAGUAGAUCCCAAAUGAUUGUAUAUUUAAUUACUAGUGACUUAAUAUUUUGGGAGGUCUGAUCCUCUAUAUGUGUAAAUUGUAAUGAAAAUUAUGAAAUCAAAGCAAAUAUGUUUAUGAAAUGUUUACUGUACUGGAAGAAAUUGCAAUGAAAGUCAAUAUCUUUGUUAAACUGUUUAUUCAAUUAUAAUGAAAUUACAAUAAAGACCAGACAUCAAUAAAAAUAAUAUUUUAAUUAAUUAAUUAAUUAUUGGAAAAUGAAAAGUAAGAAAUAUACAAAUGAAAAUUGUAAUUCUUUUUAAUAAAUAUAAUACACAAAUAUAGUUUCAAUUUUUUCAAUUUGAUAGGCCCCAUUAUACUUAAAUGCUAUUGAGAAUCCAAUACGUAUUAUAUAAAAAAUAUACCAACUAGUCAAAUAAGUAAUAAAAUAUUAUAAACUGAAGUUGAUUGGAUAGAUGAUGGGCUCCACUGUACCUUUAGAUACUAUUGAGAGUCAGUUUGUGUUUGUCACGAAUGUUGUUAAAAUGGUGAGAAUAAGCUUUAGUCACGGCUUCAUAUGUAACGAAGCCCAAAAUUGUAACUGCGCCGUGACUAUUGCUUUUACUCACCAAAAAAGGUGACUAAUAAUGCCAACAGUCACUAAUAAAAAGAUAACAAUUGUUAAUUUUUUUUGUAGUGAAAGCUUUUUUUAUUGGUAUUUGCUUAUUAUUAUUUUUUGUUAUAUGGUUAGCUUCAAGCUCUAAUGAUAGUGAAGCUAAAAAGUCACUAUUCAAGAUGAGGAGGUUGAUACCAAUGAGGAAGAGGUAACAUUCUCAUAUUAAUCACUCUUUUUUAAUGGCUUUCUCUUAUUUAAUCAUUAACUUCUAAUUAUCUUUAUAGACAAUUAAUAUCUUUCUCUUAUGUUUUCUUUUUUGUUAGGAGUCUACUAUUGAAACAUAAAACAUGUCUUUGUUUUUCGAUUGAAGCUAAGAAUAAAGAAGCACGUGAGUCUGGGGGAUUUCAUUUUAUGAAAGUGUAGUUUGUUUUUCAUAUUUAUUUGUGAUUAGUUUUCUAGUUGUAGACUUGGAUGUGUUUGUGCUUACUUUAAACUAUGUUGUGGAAUCACUUGUUUUUGUGAGAUUGGGAUGAACUUUUUGUUGUUCUCUUUUGAUGAUGAAUAAGUUGGAUUAUAAACUUUG
Molecule: long non-coding RNA, 2400 nt
Filed under: Prunus persica (peach)
Lineage: Eukaryota; Viridiplantae; Streptophyta; Magnoliopsida; Rosales; Rosaceae
Description: long non-coding RNA (PPER_LNC003244)
Source: RNAcentral